UACGGAGGGAGCUAGCGUUGUUCGGAUAUACUGGGCGUAAAGCGCACGUAGGCGGCGCAGCAAGUCAGGGGUGAAGUCCCGGAGCUCAACUCCGGAACUGCCUUUGAAACUGCAGUGCUAGAAUUCUGGAGAGGCGAGUGGAAUUCCGAGUGUAGAGGUGAAAUUCGUAGAUAUUCGGAAGAACACCAGUGGCGAAGGCGACUCGCUGGACAGAUAUUGACGCUGAGGUGACG
Molecule: ribosomal RNA, 233 nt
Filed under: uncultured bacterium
Lineage: Bacteria
Description: partial 16S ribosomal RNA
Rfam family: Bacterial small subunit ribosomal RNA
Source: RNAcentral